RNAcentral lists this unclassified non-coding RNA (253 nucleotides) under uncultured Pirellulaceae bacterium. Its description in RNAcentral is "contains 16S-23S intergenic spacer region". It matches the Rfam family "Bacterial small subunit ribosomal RNA", at positions 524 to 776 of the family's 1533-position model. The record is from RNAcentral. Lineage: Bacteria; Pseudomonadati; Planctomycetota; Planctomycetia; Pirellulales; Pirellulaceae.
UACGGAGCGGACAAACGUUAUUCGGAAUUAUUGGGCUUAAAGGGUGCGUAGGCGGUGCGGCAAGUCGGGUGUGAAAUCCCUCGGCUCAACCGAGGAACUGCGCCCGAUACUGCCGUGCUUGAGGGAGACAGAGGUGAGCGGAACUGAUGGUGGAGCGGUGAAAUGCGUUGAUAUCAUCAGGAACACCAGUGGCGUAAGCGGCUCACUGGGUCUCUUCUGACGCUGAGGCACGAAGGCUAGGGUAGCGAACAGG